AUUUAAGAAAGUUCUAAUAUCUUGUAGUGGUCAAGAUCCCCACCCCUAAACCAUAUAUAUUCUGGUUUGUCAUGCUAAGAUGGUUUAAAUGAUAUACAGGGUUAGUCCCCAGGGGUCAUCCUGACCCCCUGCCAUUUGAGAAAGUUCUAAUAUCUUGUAAAUGGUCGAGAUCCCCACCCAUAAACCAUAUAUAUUCUGGUUUGUCAUGAUAAAGCACAUCAAAUGUAAUACAGGGUAAGUCCCCAGGGGUCACCCCCACCCCAUGCCAUUUAAGAAAGUUCUAAUAUCUUUGUAAGUGGUCAAGAUCCCCACCCCUAAACCAUAUAUAUUCUGGUUUGUCAUGCUAAGAUGGUUUGAAUGAUAUACAGGGUUAGUCCCCAGGGGUCAUCCCGACCCCCUGCCAUUUGAGAAAGUUCUAAUAUCUUGUAAAUGGUCGAGAUCCCUACCCCUAAACCAUAUAUAUUCUGGUUUGUCAUAAUAAAGAACAUCAAAUGUAAUACAGGGUUAGUCCCCAGGGGUCAUCCCGACACCCUGCCAUUUGAGAAAGUUCUCAUAUCUUGUAAAUGGUCGAGAUCCCCACCCCUAAACCAUAUAUAUUCUGGUUAGUCAUGCUAAGAUGGUUUAAAUGAUAUACAGGGUUAGUCCGCAGGGGUCACCCCCACCCCAUGCCAUUUAAGAAAGUUCUAAUAUCUUGUAAGUGGUCAAGAUCCCCACCCCUAAACCAUAUAUAUUCUGGUUAGUCAUGCUAAGAUGGUUUAAAUGAUAUACAGGGUUAGUCCGCAGGGGUCACCCCUACCCCAUGCCAUUUAAGAAAGUUCUAAUAUCUUGUAAAUGGUCGAGAUCCCCACCCAUAAACCAUAUAUAUUCUGGUUUGUCAUCAUAAAGCACAUCAAAUGAAAUACAGGGUUAGUCCCAAGGGGUCAACCC
This is a long non-coding RNA of Mytilus californianus (California mussel), 927 nucleotides long. RefSeq lists it as uncharacterized. Lineage: Eukaryota; Metazoa; Mollusca; Bivalvia; Mytilida; Mytilidae. The record is from RefSeq and is a predicted model, not a curated record. The transcript is spliced from 3 exons.